GAUUAAGCCAUGCAUGUGUAAGUAUAAAUAGUUAACUUUGAAACUGCGAAUGGCUCAUUAUAUCAGUUAUAGUUUAUUUGAUGAAGAAUACUAAUUAGAUAACCGUAGUAAUUCUAGAGCUAAUACAUGUAUAAAGUCUUGUAGACUGCAUUUAUUAGAAUGAAAACCAUAGGUUUCGGCCUAUUCGUGAGUAAUAAUAACUAAUCAUAUCGUAUGCUUAUGUAACGAUGUGUCUUUCAAGUUUCUGCCCUAUCAGCUUUCGAUGGUAGUGUAUUGGACUACCAUG
This 286-nucleotide ribosomal RNA is filed under the name Blastocystis hominis. RNAcentral describes it as "partial small subunit ribosomal RNA". It matches the Rfam family "Eukaryotic small subunit ribosomal RNA", at positions 42 to 348 of the family's 1831-position model. The record is from RNAcentral. Lineage: Eukaryota; Bigyra; Opalinata; Blastocystidae.